CACGUAGGGGGCAAGCGUUGUCCGGAAUUAUUGGGCGUAAAGAGCUCGUAGGCGGCUUGUCACGUCGGGUGUGAAAGCCCGGGGCUUAACCCCGGGUCUGCAUUCGAUACGGGCUAGCUAGAGUGUGGUAGGGGAGAUCGGAAUUCCUGGUGUAGCGGUGAAAUGCGCAGAUAUCAGGAGGAACACCGGUGGCGAAGGCGGAUCUCUGGGCCAUUACUGACGCUGAGGAGCGAAAGCGUGGGGAGCGAACAGG
RNAcentral lists this ribosomal RNA (253 nucleotides) under uncultured bacterium. RNAcentral describes it as "partial 16S ribosomal RNA". It matches the Rfam family "Bacterial small subunit ribosomal RNA", at positions 524 to 776 of the family's 1533-position model. The record is from RNAcentral.